CAUCUUUGACAGACCUGCAACAGUUAAUGUCUGCUGCUAAAGUUUCCACUAUAGAUAAAAGAAAAAGAAGGUUCUCACACUUUGUCUGUCCGGUUGUGGCAGCCAAGACUGAAUGGGGGAAUACAGGA
RNAcentral lists this small nucleolar RNA (128 nucleotides) under Dasypus novemcinctus (nine-banded armadillo). Its description in RNAcentral is "Small nucleolar RNA SNORA31 (ENSDNOG00000029458.1)". Lineage: Eukaryota; Metazoa; Chordata; Mammalia; Cingulata; Dasypodidae. The record is from RNAcentral.